UUAGAAAACAUACACACACACUCACCAAGGAAGUAUUUGCAAUUUCAAGUGCAUCUUCCUAAUGGACAAGCGCACCGGCCUUGCUCAUGCAGCAACGCUGCUCUCGCUGUUGCUUCUUAUGUGCUUUGCUAUCCAUGUCCAUUGCCGAAUCAUGGAAGACAAAGUCAGCGAGAAGAUUAAUUUACCACACGGAUUAUGCGUGCAUAGGGGCUAUAAUUGCGGGGCUCUACUCCAUUGCAACUGUUGUUUCUUAAGCAACAUCUGCUAUCCUUCAGUGGAUUUAUGCACGGAAGCGUGCAAAUAAAAUACAUACUCUUCUUCAGCCACGUUGGCACGCCGGCCCAUCCUCCUUUGCCUUCCCAUACACUUUGAUCAGCUUUUAUGUAGUUCCAAGUGAUCACGCUAAUGCGCCAGCUGAUGCGCAGUUUGGAAAUAAAGAACACUGUUAUUAUU
This is a long non-coding RNA of Aegilops tauschii subsp. strangulata, 453 nucleotides long. RefSeq lists it as uncharacterized. The record is from RefSeq and is a predicted model, not a curated record. Lineage: Eukaryota; Viridiplantae; Streptophyta; Magnoliopsida; Poales; Poaceae.